GACGAACGCUGGCGGCGUGCCUAAUACAUGCAAGUAGAACGCUGAAGGAGGAGCUUGCUUCUCUGGAUGAGUUGCGAACGGGUGAGUAACGCGUAGGUAACCUGCCUGGUAGCGGGGGAUAACUAUUGGAAACGAUAGCUAAUACCGCAUAAGAGUAGAUGUUGCAUGACAUUUGCUUAAAAGGUGCAAUUGCAUCACUACCAGAUGGACCUGCGUUGUAUUAGCUAGUUGGUGGGGUAACGGCUCACCAAGGCGACGAUACAUAGCCGACCUGAGAGGGUGAUCGGCCACACUGGGACUGAGACACGGCCCAGACUCCUACGGGAGGCAGCAGUAGGGAAUCUUCGGCAAUGGACGGAAGUCUGACCGAGCAACGCCGCGUGAGUGAAGAAGGUUUUCGGAUCGUAAAGCUCUGUUGCAAGAGAAGAACGAGUGUGAGAGUGGAAAGUUCACACUGUGACGGUAUCUUACCAGAAAGGGACGGCUAACUACGUG
Molecule: ribosomal RNA, 495 nt
Filed under: uncultured bacterium
Lineage: Bacteria
Description: partial 16S ribosomal RNA
Rfam family: Bacterial small subunit ribosomal RNA
Source: RNAcentral